GCGAAAGUGGCGGAAUUGGUAGACGCACUGGAUUUAGGAUCCAGCGCACUCCGUGCGUGGGGGUUCGACUCCCCCCUUUCGCACCA
RNAcentral lists this transfer RNA (86 nucleotides) under Candidatus Electrothrix aestuarii. RNAcentral's name for it is "tRNA-Leu". It matches the Rfam family "tRNA". Rfam says of the family: Transfer RNA (tRNA) molecules are approximately 80 nucleotides in length. Lineage: Bacteria; Pseudomonadati; Thermodesulfobacteriota; Desulfobulbia; Desulfobulbales; Desulfobulbaceae. The record is from RNAcentral. RNAcentral also lists the same sequence under 1 other name.